Molecule: ribosomal RNA, 588 nt
Filed under: uncultured Staphylococcus sp.
Lineage: Bacteria; Bacillati; Bacillota; Bacilli; Caryophanales; Staphylococcaceae
Description: bacterial SSU rRNA
Rfam family: Bacterial small subunit ribosomal RNA
Source: RNAcentral
UCCUACGGGAGGCAGCAGUAGGGAAUCUUCCGCAAUGGGCGAAAGCCUGACGGAGCGGCGCCGCGUGAGUGAUGAAGGUCUUCGGAUCGUAAAACUCUGUUAUUAGGGAAGAACAAAUGUGUAAGUAACUAUGCACGUCUUGACGGUACCUAAUCAGAAAGCCACGGCUAACUACGUGCCAGCAGCCGCGAUAAUACGUAGGUGGCAAGCGUUAUCCGGAAUUAUUGGGCGUAAAGCGCGCGUAGGCGGUUUUUUAAGUCUGAUGUGAAAGCCCACGGCUCAACCGUGGAGGGUCAUUGGAAACUGGAAAACUUGAGUGCAGAGGAGGAAAGUGGAAUUCCAUGUGUAGCGGUGAAAUGCGCAGAGAUAUGGAGGAACACCAGUGGCGAAGGCGACUUUCUGGUCUGUAACUGACGCUGAUGUGCGAAAGCGUGGGGAUCAAACAGGAUUAGAUACCCUGGUAGUCCACGCCGUAAACGAUGAGUGCUAAGUGUUAGGGGGUUUCCGCCCCUUAGUGCUGUAGCUAACGCAUUAAGCACUCCGCCUGGGGAGUACGACCGCAAGGUUGAAACUCAAAGGAAUUGACGG